Molecule: long non-coding RNA, 3185 nt
Organism: Humulus lupulus (European hop)
Lineage: Eukaryota; Viridiplantae; Streptophyta; Magnoliopsida; Rosales; Cannabaceae
Exons: 8
Source: RefSeq, a predicted model, not a curated record
GUUUCGCGCGAAAACAAAAUGCCAAAAAAAUUUCAUUUCCCUCUCUGUGCCAUGAAUAUAUUUUGUUUCCUUCAUUUUCAGACCCAUACUCGAAAACCCCCCAAACCCCAAACACAGAAACCCCAAUGGAGAGACCCAUACUCGGAAACCCCCAAACCCCAAAGGCAGAAACCCCAACGGAGAGACCCAAACUCAAACCUCAGUUAGCGUCGAAACCCCAAACGGAGAGACCCAAACCCACGGUAGAGCCAUCUGCGGUUCUUCCGAGCUCCAUCGGAUACGGCUCCUCCCAUCUCCCUCUACACUUACACGACUGACUAUUAAGCACAGUUUUUGGCUGGUAUUGGUGGUGGUGGGCUUGGGUUCUUCGCUGUGAAAAUGUCACUAAUUCCACUCUCUUAAUUUACUAGCACAAUUUUUAUUUUAAUCGCAAUCGCAAUCCCUCUGCACUUGCACGACUGAAUUUGAUUUGCUACAUUCAAGAUAGUCGAAUUGUUUAAAAAUAUAAGGGAGAUGAUGUUGCAUCACACAUUCUCUUUGUCUCUCGCCCUUUACUAGAUGACUGUGAUGAAGCCUAGACACCUCGUGUUGUGGCUCACUGUCUUCAGGUUCAUACGAAUGUGAUGGGGUUGCUAGUUAGGAUUUUUCUUUAGACCUCUUGGACUAUCCAUAAUCUCAUUUAUGUCAGCAACUCUGUAAGUUCAUUCAAAUGUAUAUUGUUCUUUUUUUUAUAUGUCUGAUUUCUUGUUUUUUUUUUUUCCGUUUGGGAUCUAGCUUUUUGAGUUAUUAUGUCUGCAUCUUCCCUAAUAAAGGACUGUAGAUUGUAUUUUAUUUGGGAACUCAGCCCUAUUCAAGCAAAUGCGAUCAUUUUGUAUGACAUUGGCAUAUCUAUUUUGUUUAUAUGCUGAUUGGGUUACACACCUUGAUGUGUGGUAGUUGGUUCAAAGUUUGUGUUUAUAUGCUAUAAUGGCUUUAAUUCAACAAGCAAGACUUGAUUUGAUAAAAAUUAGUUGAUUGUAUAUUUAUCUACACCCAAUUGCAAUAACUGCUAAAAUAUUUAGCCCACUAUAUAUUAUGAUUUACAUUUUCUGUACAUAAAUUGUUGCAAAAGAAUCUCUAUAAACAUUUAUGAUCUCAUUUGUUAGUGGAAAACUGAUCUUAAACACUAAACUUACUAGAGUUUUUAAUUUUGUUAAAUAUGGGUGUUGCUGCACUUUAGAAGUACAUAGGGAACUUAGGUGGUAUAUAUGUUAUAUAGGAGCCUUUAAUGUUUCCUCAAGCACCUAUUUUACUCCAAAAGACUUAAAUAUCUAAAUUAUUCCAGAAAACGUAGAAAAGAAUGAGGGACCUGAGACACCAGCUAGGACUUUGAAGUCGUCUUUUCUCGUAACACUACUCAGGUUUGCUUUUCUUAAAGCCAAUAACUAUUGAUGCUUGGGGACUUUGAAGCCUUCUUUUCUCGCAACACUACUCAGUUUGAAUUUUCUAAAGCCAAUAACUAUUGAUGCUUGGUGAAGUAGUAUAUCAUUAUCCCUAUCAACCAUAAUACAAUUUUUGUCAAGUUAUUGGUGAGCAAACUCAUUAUCCCAAUAAGUUGCCUACAAGGCAACAUUCCAAAGUUUUAAAUAAUUAAUAAUUAAGUUGAUUAUAGAAUUUUAAAUAACAUGACUUGGGGUAAUAACAUGAUAUGGAAUAUACAUCUAACUUUUUUAUUUUUUAUAAUGUUAAUAAUAAUGUUUAGGUUAAUAUUUUGAUUGGUCUUAAAACAUUGGAUUGGUAGCUAAUUGCAAGAGGUAUGUUGUAUUUGAUUUUUUUUUAAUUUUCAAUAUUUUACAAUUUUGAAUGCAUAUAAUUUUUAAUGCAGGUCAGUUUAGACGCAAUGUUUGAUGUACAGAUCAAGCGAAUACAUGAGUACAAAAGACAGUUGCUUAAUAUCCUCGGCAUUAUCCAUCGAUAUGAUUGUAUCAAGAAUAUGAAUGAGAGUGACAGGAGGAAGGUUGUACCGCGUGUAUUUGGGCAUAUGGAAAGAAUGAGAGAUAUGUUUCUGAAGACAUUUAGUGAGAUCAUAUGCUUUACUAAGUGUUUUUGAUUGCUUGACCAUUCAGAACUUUAUUUUAUCUAAGAACCUAUGCACAUUGUGUGAGCGUGACUGUUUCUAUGCAGCACUGCAGGGCAUGAGGCCUCAGGAACUGGUAGCAUGAAAUUUCUUAUUAAUUGAUGUCUACUCUUAGCUACAGCUGAUGGUUCAACAGUUGAAAUUAUUGAAGAAAUUGGGGCAGAAAAUAUGUUUUUGUUUGGUGCAAAGCUGGAUGAAGUUCCCAUCUUGCGUGAGAGAGAACCCAACGCGAAAGUGAAUCUGCAAUUUGCACGGGUUGUGAGGUAGUACCCGUUUUCCCUUUUCACUGCCAGUUCAUUAUCAUCUGAUCAUCAAUAUCCCAACAAAUGCUUGCCACAGCUAAUUUAGUGAACUAGUCACAUGUAAUUUCUAACUGACAAUAAAACUAGCUUUCAGAUAGAUAGUUCGGCUUACCGAAUCAAAUUUGCCGAAGUAUUCAAUAUUGUGCUUCUGUCCAGCCUUUGUUUUGGACGGCCAAAAAAUUAACAUUCUGAUGCUUGCUCGAAGCAUACCUUGAUAGGUUUUCCUUAGAAUAGGAUCAACCUGUUAGACCCAAGCACAAUAUUACAAAGAGUGGAGAAUUGUCCCAGAAGAUGUGAGAGCUUCAUUGCGACACUAUAUUUUGGAACAUUUUGACAUCAACUUGAAUGAUGAGACAACUAAAAAAUGCAUUGAUGAACAAAUGAGAAAAGCUUGGAAGGGUCAUUGUGGGUAAUCAACCAACUUAUGAAGAGUUAGUUGAAUGACUUAAUGAUACAACUUCUCGCCUUAAUGCUACUAACGAACAACUUAGUGUAGUUGUGGAUAUACUUCGUCAUAACAAUUUGAUGGCACUGCCUCCACCACCUCCAACAGACCAAGCUUCAGAUGCAAAUUUAAGAGAGUCGUCAUCUAUUUCAAUUCGGGAGUCACAAGAUGAUUCUUAGUUUAUUUACAUUAAUUUACUAAGGAAUGAACUUUAUGAAGUUUUUUUUAUUUUGGUAGGGGUAACCUUAAAAUGAUAACUGUAUGACUUAUUUUAGUAUUGAACAUUAUAAAGAAUUUUAGCAUUAAACAUUUUAUUAUUGAA